CCUACGGGUGGCUGCAGUCGAGGAUCUUCGUCAAUGGGGGAAACCCUGAACGAGCGACGCCGCGUGUGCGAUGAAGGCCUUCGGGUUGUAAAGCACAAAAGUGGGGAUAAAGCCGCAAGGUUGAUUGAUCCACAGUAAGCUCGGGCUAAGUUCGUGCCAGCAGCCGCGGUAAGACGAACCGAGCGAACGUUGUUCGGAAUCACUGGGCUUAAAGGGCGCGUAGGCGGGCGACCAAGUCGGUGGUGAAAUCCUGCAGCUUAACUGCAGAACUGCCU
This 275-nucleotide ribosomal RNA is filed under the name uncultured Zavarzinella sp. Its description in RNAcentral is "partial 16S ribosomal RNA". It matches the Rfam family "Bacterial small subunit ribosomal RNA", at positions 338 to 626 of the family's 1533-position model. Lineage: Bacteria; Pseudomonadati; Planctomycetota; Planctomycetia; Gemmatales; Gemmataceae. The record is from RNAcentral.